Non-coding RNA from Triticum aestivum (bread wheat), 125 nucleotides. NCBI's taxonomy places the organism in Eukaryota, Viridiplantae, Streptophyta, Magnoliopsida, Poales, Poaceae. The record is from Rfam.
AACAUACUCCCUCCGUUCGGAAUUACUUGUCACAAAAAUGAAUGUAUCUAGACAUAUUUUAGUUAUCGAUACAUCCAUUUUUAUUCACUUUUAAGACAAGUAAUUUGGAACGGAGGGAGUAAACG